Pelobates cultripes (western spadefoot toad) is the source of this 220-nucleotide non-coding RNA. Lineage: Eukaryota; Metazoa; Chordata; Amphibia; Anura; Pelobatidae. The record is from the annotation of a GenBank genome assembly.
CAACAAUCAGAUAAAGGACAUAAGUAUUGGAUAAACAUUCCAAACAUGUAAAUCUGACAAGUAACUGUCUGGGGAAGAAAGGGACCCUAAUAUAAAUCAACCUUAAAAAUAGGAAGAUAGGCAAGUGCUAAAUAAAAUGUAAAUAUAAUGGUAGGCAUGACAAUAUAAAAGAAUAAAAGAAGAAACCUAUUAAGACCACAUAAAAACUAAAUGGUUUUAG